RNAcentral lists this ribosomal RNA (468 nucleotides) under uncultured bacterium. RNAcentral's name for it is "partial 16S ribosomal RNA". It matches the Rfam family "Bacterial small subunit ribosomal RNA", at positions 28 to 507 of the family's 1533-position model. The record is from RNAcentral.
GACGAACGCUGGCGGCGUGCUUAACACAUGCAAGUCGAACGGAAAGGCCCUGCUUUUGUGGGGUGCUCGAGUGGCGAACGGGUGAGUAAAACGGGUUUAUCCUCCCCUUUGUUUUGGGGUACAUCUAGUAAACAGGGUAGAUAACCGCGAAGAACCCCCGCUGGCACGUGGGGGGUGUGAAAGUUUCGCAGUUGGGGGAAGGCCAGGUGGCUUUUCAGCUUGUUGGUGGGGUGGUGGGUUACUAGGGCGUCGAGGGGAAGCUGCCCUGGGAGGGUGACCGGCCCCAUUGGGACUGAGAUACGGCCCAUAGUCCUACGGGAGGCAGCAGUGGGGAAUAGUGCACAAUGGGCGGAAGCCUGAUGCAGCAACGCCGCGUGCGGGAUGACGGCCUUCGGGUUGUAAACCGCUUUCGCCUGUGAAGAAGCGUGAGUGACGGUAAUGGGUAAAGAAGCACCGGCUAACUACGUG